RNAcentral lists this unclassified non-coding RNA (347 nucleotides) under Hevea brasiliensis (rubber tree). Lineage: Eukaryota; Viridiplantae; Streptophyta; Magnoliopsida; Malpighiales; Euphorbiaceae. The record is from RNAcentral.
UUAUUAUUAUUAUUAUUAUUAUAGUUUAAUGUGAUUAGGGUUGCAAAAACUCUAUAAAUAGGUUUAGGUUUUUUAUUAUGUAAUAGAUUUAAUUAUUAUAAUUAUUAUUGAGAAUCAAUGAGAGUUUCUGAGAAUUUAUUUCUUUUGAUCCCUUUUGUUCUUCUUGUUCUACAUCAAACAGUCUUUUUGUGUCUAGGUGACAUGCUCGUUAUUGGCAGUCUGUAUUCCUAUCAUCAGACUGUAUUUCAACCCAUGGAUAUGUUUAACUAAUAGUGGCUCUUACGAUGAUUAAAUAAAAAUUUUCUUUACAUCUUUCUGAAAAGGAGAAAGAGAGAGAGUGGAGAAGU